ACGUGCCACUCGUCCACUGCGAAUCCUGCGUGCUGUCCACGCGCAUCGGACGGUUGCUCGCGACGUUGUGUUCGUC
RNAcentral lists this small RNA (76 nucleotides) under Xanthomonas oryzae. RNAcentral describes it as "sX9". It matches the Rfam family "Xanthomonas sRNA sX9". The record is from RNAcentral. Lineage: Bacteria; Pseudomonadati; Pseudomonadota; Gammaproteobacteria; Lysobacterales; Lysobacteraceae.